UACGGGGGGGGCAAGCGUUGUUCGGAAUUACUGGGCGUAAAGGGCUCGUAGGUGGCCAACUAAGUCAGACGUGAAAUCCCUCAGCUUAACUGGGGAACUGCGUCUGAUACUGGAUGGCUUGAGUUUGGGAGAGGGAUGCGGAAUUCCAGGUGUAGCGGUGAAAUGCGUAGAUAUCUGGAGGAACACCGGUGGCGAAGGCGGCAUCCUGGACCAACAUUGACACUGAUGAGCGAAAGCCAGGGGAGCAAACGGG
Molecule: ribosomal RNA, 253 nt
Filed under: uncultured bacterium
Lineage: Bacteria
Description: partial 16S ribosomal RNA
Rfam family: Bacterial small subunit ribosomal RNA
Source: RNAcentral